CUCCCCCUCUGUUCUGUUCAUUGAAUGGCUAAUAGGCAUCUCAAACUCAAUGUGCCAAAACUGAAUUGAUGUUCUUCCCUGAGAUAGUGCCUUUCCUCUGGGCCACCUCAUCCAGUAAAUGAGGCACUGCUCACCCUCUCCUCAGAAUAAACUUGAAAGAUACCCUGCUUUCACUACUUUCUCCUCCUCUGUCCCUGCUACAGUUAUCAAUGUGUCCUGUUAAGUUCAAACUUGCCUCUCCUACUCAGCAUGGCUACUACUUUGGUUCAAACCACCAGUCAUCUUUGGCCUGGACUGAGGCAAUGGUUUAAUUGGCUCCCUGCUGUCAGUUUUGCCUGACACUCACUAAUUUUAUUCUCACAGCAGAAAACCAGACCCUGUUAAUCUUCUGUUAAAACCCAAAGAGAGCCCAUUCCUCUACACAGUCCACAGGCCCUGCAUGCCCUGGCCCCAGCCCACCUCCCCACUUCAUUGGAGCCUGUUUGCCAGGCCUGAUGUGUUAGCCACAGUGAUUUUCCUUUGGGUCUUGCACAGCCAGAGCUUAAUCGGCCCAGGGCCUUGGUACCACAGCUCUCAAGGUGUCUUCUGCUAACUUUCCCCUAAGGCUACCUUGAUUCUCUUGACUCCAAUUUUCCCAUCUCCUCCUCAAAGACCUUUUCUCCAACUGCUCUAUCUAGAGGAGCGCUUAUUUUCUAUUCCAGAACUGCUUUUAUCCCUAUAUUUACUUCAACUUGCAAUGAUUCAUUUGCCUUUUCCACUAAAAGCAAACUACAUGGAGCGAGAGGCUUUGGCGACUGUAUCCCCAGCUGGAAAACAGGACCAGCAGCCACCAAACACCUAACGCAGCGCGUGGCGUGCUGAAGCCGAGGGUCAGUUCAGUGCUGCGUCUCGGCAUAGAGGUGAGGUACAGAUCUCUGCAAGCCGGGAAAGCAAGGUGAGUUUUUUAGCAUCAAGGCUGGAACGAGCGAGGCUUCAAGGCUGGGCUGGCAAAGAAAUAAAAAUCUUCAUUUACUCUGCCCCUUCACGUGAAGAAUCCUCCCGUCCUCAGCUUCCAAGGCCCGGCAGGAGCGCCUUUCACCUUCGCCAUCUUCCUCGCCCCUGCCCAGGCCCCUCGCACCCCUCGAGACUUGGCUUCCCGCAGCUCCCGGUUCUCCCCUGUUCGGCUUGCCCAGGCAGGGGAAGGCGGCGGUCACACGUGCCUGCCCGGAUCCACGCUCAGCCCGCGUGUCGGGAACCGCCUGGAGCCGGACAAAGGGGCAGACCAGCCAUCCAGCCUCGGUUCCGGUCCACGAUCCCCCCCCGGGGCGCCCCGCAGGGCUCGGCGCGCGGUGGGCGGGGCGAGCG
Heterocephalus glaber (naked mole-rat) is the source of this 1344-nucleotide long non-coding RNA. NCBI's taxonomy places the organism in Eukaryota, Metazoa, Chordata, Mammalia, Rodentia, Bathyergidae. The record is from Ensembl.